RNAcentral lists this ribosomal RNA (253 nucleotides) under uncultured bacterium. RNAcentral's name for it is "partial 16S ribosomal RNA". It matches the Rfam family "Bacterial small subunit ribosomal RNA", at positions 524 to 776 of the family's 1533-position model. The record is from RNAcentral.
UACGUAGGGUGCAAGCGUUGUCCGGAAUUAUUGGGCGUAAAGCGCUCGUAGGCGGUCUGUCACGUCGGCUGUGAAAACCCGAGGCUCAACCUCGGGCCUGCAGUCGAUACGGGCAGGCUAGAGUUCGGUAGGGGAGACUGGAAUUCCUGGUGUAGCGGUGAAAUGCGCAGAUAUCAGGAGGAACACCGGUGGCGAAGGCGGGUCUCUGGGCCGAAACUGACGCUGAGGAGCGAAAGCGUGGGGAGCGAACAGG